This 346-nucleotide unclassified non-coding RNA is filed under the name Hevea brasiliensis (rubber tree). The record is from RNAcentral. Lineage: Eukaryota; Viridiplantae; Streptophyta; Magnoliopsida; Malpighiales; Euphorbiaceae.
AAAUAUUAAUUGUUAACUGGAAGGACAUUCAAACAAUGGCACAUGGAUAGUUCACAAAAUGAAAUGAUUAUACUAUGGUCUCAACUGUCAGUACUUCGGUGAAUAAUAGAUAAAUAAAAAAAAAUUGUAUAAUCUUGAAUGUUUCACAGGUUUUUAAAACAUACAAAAAGAAGAACAGAUGCGAGCACUUGUAAUGACCGGAUGGAAACAAAACAGUCAAUUCAAUAGUGAUUUAUGCAUGUUCUCAAAGUAAAUUAUUUACCUCAAGCCCCAUAUGAUAGAAAAGGAAAGAUCAUUUUGAUCAGCAAAAAUACAGAAAUAACAGACACGAUGAAAUGCAAAUUAA